CCUACGGGAGGCAGCAGUGGGGGAUAUUGGACAAUGGGGGGAACCCUGAUCCAGCGACGCCGCGUGAGUGAAGAAGUAUUUCGGUAUGUAAAGCUCUGUCAGCAGGGAAGAAAGAAAUGACGGUACCUGACCAAGAAGCCCCGGCUAACUACGUGCCAGCAGCCGCGGUAAUACGGAGGGGGCAAGCGUUAUCCGGAAUUACUGGGUGUAAAGGGAGCGUAGACGGUUAAGUAAGUCUGGAGUGAAAGGCCGGGGCCCAACCCCGGGACUGCUCUGGAAACUAUUGAACUUGAGUGCAGGAGAGGUAAGCGGAAUUCCUGGUGUAGCGGUGAAAUGCGUAGAUAUUAGGAGGAACACCAGUGGCGAAGGCGGCUUACUGGACUGUAACUGACGUUGAGGCUCGAAAGCGUGGGGAGCAAACAGGAUUAGAUACCCUGGUAGUC
Molecule: ribosomal RNA, 443 nt
Filed under: uncultured bacterium
Lineage: Bacteria
Description: partial 16S ribosomal RNA
Rfam family: Bacterial small subunit ribosomal RNA
Source: RNAcentral